This 253-nucleotide ribosomal RNA is filed under the name uncultured bacterium. RNAcentral's name for it is "partial 16S ribosomal RNA". It matches the Rfam family "Bacterial small subunit ribosomal RNA", at positions 524 to 776 of the family's 1533-position model. The record is from RNAcentral.
UACGAAGGGGGCUAGCGUUGCUCGGAAUCACUGGGCGUAAAGGGCGCGUAGGCGGAUCUUUAAGUCGGGGGUGAAAGCCCAGGGCUCAACCCUGGAAUUGCCUUCGAUACUGGAGAUCUUGAGACCGGAAGAGGUAAGUGGAACUGCGAGUGUAGAGGUGAAAUUCGUAGAUAUUCGCAAGAACACCAGUGGCGAAGGCGGCUUACUGGUCCGGUUCUGACGCUGAGACGCGAAAGCGUGGGGAGCGAACAGG